GACGAACGCUGGCGGCGUGCUUAACACAUGCAAGUCGAACGGAAAGGCCCCUUUGGGGGUACUCGAGUGGCGAACGGGUGAGUAACACGUGAGUAACCUGCCCUUGACUUCGGGAUAACUUCAGGGAACUGGGGCUAAUACCGGAUAGGAAUCCUUGCUGCAUGGUGGGGGUUGGAAAGCUUCGGCGGUUUUGGAUGGACUCGCGGCUUAUCAGCUUGUUGGUGGGGUAGUGGCUUACCAAGGCUUUGACGGGUAGCCGGCCUGAGAGGGCGACCGGCCACAUUGGGACUGAGAUACGGCCCAGACUCCUACGGGAGGCAGCAGUGGGGAAUAUUGCACAAUGGGCGGAAGCCUGAUGCGGCAACGCCGCGUGCGGGAUGACGGCCUUCGGGUUGUAAACCGCUUUCAGCAGGGGCGAAGCUUUUGUGACGGUACCUGCAGAAGAAGCACCGGCUAACUACGUG
RNAcentral lists this ribosomal RNA (464 nucleotides) under uncultured bacterium. RNAcentral's name for it is "partial 16S ribosomal RNA". It matches the Rfam family "Bacterial small subunit ribosomal RNA", at positions 28 to 507 of the family's 1533-position model. The record is from RNAcentral.